RNAcentral lists this ribosomal RNA (253 nucleotides) under uncultured bacterium. RNAcentral describes it as "partial 16S ribosomal RNA". It matches the Rfam family "Bacterial small subunit ribosomal RNA", at positions 524 to 776 of the family's 1533-position model. The record is from RNAcentral.
UACGUAGGUGACAAGCGUUGUCCGGAUUUACUGGGCGUAAAGAGCGCGCAGGCGGUCGUUCAAGUCGAGUGUGAAAGCCCCCGGCUCAACUGGGGAGGGUCAUUCGAUACUGAUCGACUCGAAGGCAGGAGAGGGAAGUGGAAUUCCCGGUGUGGUGGUGAAAUGCGUAGAUAUCGGGAGGAACACCAGUGGCGAAGGCGACUUCCUGACCUGUUCUUGACGCUGAGGCGCGAAAGCUAGGGGAGCAAACGGG